Molecule: unclassified non-coding RNA, 294 nt
Filed under: Hevea brasiliensis (rubber tree)
Lineage: Eukaryota; Viridiplantae; Streptophyta; Magnoliopsida; Malpighiales; Euphorbiaceae
Source: RNAcentral
CCCUCCCUCCCCAUUUUUCAUUAUUUACAAGGCAACUAUGACAAAAGUCAUCCCUGGAGUAUACAAGUGUCGCAAAAUAUUGUUUCCAUUUCUUUUUCUUCUGCUGAGAUCCCAAUCUCUUAUUUUAAAAAUAAUAAUAAGAACAACAGUUACAGAACAGACAUCAACCAUAAACUUUAGAUUCAAAUCUUUUACAUUUUGGUGGUGUGACAACGAACAGGACCCAGACUAAUAAUCAUCUCCUCUUGAUAUAACUUCCUUGCAAGUUGGCCGUAGCAAGAUAGUAUGCUCAAA